UUAAUGUUUAUUCAUUUCGUUCGUGUAUAUUUUAGAAAUUAAGAAAUGAAAACUGUAACUGUACUAAGUUCAAUUUUCGUAUCGUUUAUAUGCCUUACGGAAAACCGACCUUUUCCGGAAUCGACUUUUGUUUUAUCACCGGAAAUGAUUUUGAAAUUUGAAUUUCGAAACGAUAUCAACAAAGAGAGCCAAGAAAAUUGUUUGUUACGCGAUAUAUACUCACUUGGAGCUAAAAGAAAAGCCACAAAGGACAAGUUCAAUAUGCAGGUUUACAAUUUGGAAGUGGCGCAGGUUCUUUGGAAUGUCUACAACCUUUCAGGAGAAUUUUUUUUUGAAGUAAGAUUUUCAUACAGAAUUACUGUUAUUCCAUAUUUAAUUCAAAUAUUUAGCAUAAACAAUGCAUUACAUUCAAGAUUAAGGGCAUACAAUACAGAAAAGAUAUCUGGAUAUAUUUGAAUAAAUUAUUUUUUUUGUGACAAAAUAGAAACAAGUUGUUUAUUUAAAUCAAUCUUUUAGUCCAACAGUGUGCUUUCAUAAACAACAUAUUUGCUUUCCUUUGAAGUAUUUCAAAUACAUAUAAACAACUCAUUUAAUGACAUCUGUGUGUUUCUCGGAAGUUAAGUUAUAUUAUUAUCAUCAUUGUGAAAACAAUGCGUAACACUUCGAUAAGUUAUUAUGUGCCUAUAGUAUACUUCUAGGACUGUAUCAUAUGCCCUUAGAUACAAAUGACAAGUUAUAAACUAUGUCACUCUACAGAGUUUAACACUUAAAAAGGACAAUAAGAUGUUUAAUGACAUUAUGUAGCAGGGCUUUUAAAGGCCCCUACAUGAUACAAUGCAUUUAAUGAAAACUAAAAGAAAACAAGAAAAACAACAGCCUGAUUUAUACAAAACAAUAAAAGAAAAAAAAUAUGAUGGACAACAAUCAACGAGUAUAAUGAAAUAAGACUCUUGACUGGACACAUAUCUAGUCUAAAGUUUUUUAUGUGUUUUUUUUUUAAUAACCAAAUGAAGUUCAGCGUGGCAUAUUGCUCUCUCUUAACACGGUCAGCCAUUUAUCGUCCCCUUCCGACAGACUAUCAUUGUUAUUUGUUUCAAAACUUUAAAGGGGAGGGGAUGUAUAUCCUUCAGUCAACGUGAAUCGUUAUAUAAUAAAGGAAUGUGCAAGAAGUUUAUAUAUGAAUGUAAGAUUAAUUUUUUUUUCAGAAGCAGGGCACAGCAAGAAAAAGAUAUAAGACACUUCAAGACAUUCCAAGUGAUUUUGAAUAAGACAAUUGAUUGACUUUUUCAAUGUAUUCUUAAAUAAAUCAAAUAGUUGAUGUAAAA
Molecule: long non-coding RNA, 1325 nt
Organism: Mytilus californianus (California mussel)
Lineage: Eukaryota; Metazoa; Mollusca; Bivalvia; Mytilida; Mytilidae
Exons: 2
Source: RefSeq, a predicted model, not a curated record